ACUCUUAUGGUGUAACGGUAGCACGGCGAUCUUUGGAAUCGUCCGGUCUUGGUUCGAAUCCAGGUAGGAGUGC
RNAcentral lists this transfer RNA (73 nucleotides) under Microbacterium phage PauloDiaboli. Its description in RNAcentral is "tRNA-Gln". It matches the Rfam family "tRNA". From Rfam's summary of the family: Transfer RNA (tRNA) molecules are approximately 80 nucleotides in length. Their secondary structure includes four short double-helical elements and three loops (D, anti-codon, and T loops). Lineage: Duplodnaviria; Heunggongvirae; Uroviricota; Caudoviricetes. RNAcentral also lists the same sequence under 2 other names. The record is from RNAcentral.